Falco peregrinus (peregrine falcon) is the source of this 15653-nucleotide long non-coding RNA. RefSeq lists it as uncharacterized. Lineage: Eukaryota; Metazoa; Chordata; Aves; Falconiformes; Falconidae. The transcript has 3 exons. The record is from RefSeq and is a predicted model, not a curated record.
AAUUCACGCGGCCAAUAAAACAAGUGGCGGAGAUGGACAGUGUUACUUAAAUAAACAAGGGUCUCUUUAAAAUUCUCAUCCACUUCAGAUGUCUAAAGUAAGAUUGUGAUGAUUUUGUCACGGUUUGGUAAAUUUACCCCUUUAAGAGGCUUUCAUAAAUCCCAGAACACACCUUCAGCCAGAUUUGAAUAUAGAUUUAGGUUUUAAAACCCAGAAGCUGGGAACACCGCUUUAUCAAAGAGAAUUUCCCUUUAGCUUAGCAAUGUGUCGGAAUGGCUCUUGCAAAGAUUGGAUCUGAGAGGGGGAAAAAGGGGGAACCUUCUUUCCUGGAGCAAUCCUGCACACACUUUGCAGCUGCCUCUGCCUUCAGCCUUCUGCAGCUCGGGGAAAAGUCGCCAAAAAAAAAAAUUAAUAAGAAUUGUUGCAGCUGUAGGAACUUGGGGUUUUUUUUAUUAUUCUUUUAAUUUUUUUUUUAACUUUCCAAUCUCUUCUGGUCCACUUGGAAAGCGUUUCAGAGCAGGUACAGUCCCAGAGAGCCAGACUAGCUGGGGCUAACGGGGAGUGAGUGGAGAUGUGUGAUUUUCUGCCCUCUAAGAACUUUGUGCUCAGAGAAACAAAAUCUGCUUCUGGGAUGAAAAGAAACUGUAACUUCUGCUUCUCAGGGCUGUGGGAGUCUUGUCCCUCCUUGAAUAUCUCGACUGCACAGAUGCAUUCCCUGGAAAGAGAAGCCCACAUGGAGAACAAUGGGCAAAGCUGGAGGUGGGAUUCAAAUCUUCUUUACUCCAUACGUGCUGGUCCAGCAUCGAAGGGAUGUCAUGGCGGCAGCUCAUCCCAAGUCUGCUCACUUUGGAAAGGAGUUUGGGGCUCUCCUAGCAACUCCUUGUUAAUUUUGUGGAUCCAAAUCAUCACUUACACAGAAGUCAGCUUGCAGGCAGCCACCCUGAGAGCUUAUGAGAAUAUUUAACCUCUGGAUGUGAGCAUCUGAUUGAAGUGAUCACAUUACCAGAACUUCCUGAGUUACUGUUCAUCAGCUGAGUCCCAGAAACUCACUGCUAUCUCACAACCCAAAGUAGGUGUCUGCUUCAGUCCUCAGAGCUACAACUACCUCAAAUAACAAAUAACCUUUAUCUGUCAAAAAACUCCCUCCUCUUGAUAAUCUACUCUAAAAUUUGAUUGGGAUAUGCAUGUACGUGGUGCAAGUUGCCUACGAGCAGCUACAACCUCAUGGCUUCCACUCGUAUGCCCAUGUAGUCAAGUUGGCUAUUUCAGUCUUUUUUUGGGGGGGGGAUAAACUCACUGUGGGCUGCCCAUGGGUGUUAAGUUAGCAAUAACUAUGAUGCUGGUCUGGCCUCUUACACACUCAUGCAAUUUGACUUUGAAAUUCCUUCCUCAAAGCCAGUAAUGUUGGUAACAAAUGUUUUUUGGGAAAAAACUCCAGCUACUCAACAUAAAGGAUCUAAUCCGUGGAGAAGUUGCUACAUCCCUUGGCCCCAGAGAUAACACAAUCUAUUCUGGAGAGCAUUAGCCUGGAAUUCAUAAUGCAAAGCAUCUAGAUUUCAGAGGCGAGCUAGAAAAUUACAUUUUCAUUAAUGUUUUGACUAAUUAUUCUCCUACAGCCAUGUAGAAAGGUUACCUGGUCUCUUAAAUCUGGUAUGUAUCUAGUAUGCUAGCAAUUUUCCUUCCUUUUCAUUCCUCACAGGACAGAAAUUAGACAUUGUCAUUCCAUAUUAUUUGCGACAUGUUGACAUUAUAAUUUAAAAGGAUGCAGCAGUUCUGAACAGCUGGAGAGUAAUCCUGAACAAUCCUUGACAGUUUUCUUUGGAGGAUGAAUGCCCCUCCCUGGAGAACUGCACAGUCUCUUAUUUUAAACUAACAGCUAAUUUUAGACAGUUUGCCCUCUUAGAAAUGCAUGCCACAGAGACUUCUCUACAUGGUGAACAGCAGUGACCAGAGAUAAGCACCCACACAGAAAAAGAGAGCGCUCUAAAAUAGAUUUUUCCUCUUCUAAGAGACAUGACUUGUUUGCCGUAUUGCCUGAUGGAGCCAAAGAGAGACUCUCAUUGCUGGCUCUCGCUGAGACAGCCCUCCCUUGUGCUAUGCAGAGCUGAAAGCUUCUUGAAUGCUGCACACGCUUUGAGACUGCUGUGGUUUACUUCUCAGAGGCUUGGGGGGAAUUGGUUUAAGCAGAGGGGAUUUCCCCCCACCCCACCCAACAGGUUCAGUGUGCUGUGCUUGGAACCUCUUGCCCCUGGAAGGGAGCAGGAAGCAAUCUGCAGCAGGGUCAUGCAUCACCUCCGUCUCCCAAAGGUCUUGGGUGCGAUGACAUCGAGCAACGGGGACACGAGUCAGAAAACACCUUGUGGAAGAUGGAAACCAGUUUCAUAUGGCUUUGCCUUGUGGGUUUUUGAGGGAAGGGAGAAGGGCGGCCUGGGGGGCAUCUCCUCCAGCUGUCUUGCCGGGAGCAGGGGAAGCUGCUGUGCCUGUCGCACAGAGCCCCACCUCUCCUGCCAUUCUGCAGCUAUGGUCUAGCCUUCAGUACAGGUUCAAACACUCCCUACCAAUGAGAAAAAGUCCUGACUUCACAUCAUCACGCUCCUGGGACAUCCCAGGCAAAAGUGCAUAUGCUGCUUGUAGAUGAGACAUCAGGCAGGUCUGUGGGGUGAUUUGGGUUCAGGUUAAGCAUAAACAAAAGCUGCUGAAAUGACUAUUGCUUUGUCAUGUGUCAUGCGGUCUGAACAGAAGCUAAUCUGGUUUGCAGGAGUCAUUGAAAGGACAAGAGAAGUGGUUCUGUGUUGUUACAGGAGCUGGAGACACUGCCAACACAGAAGGGGUGCUCUCCUGAAAAGCUGGCUGUGCUCUGCAGCUCCUCUCUCUGCUGGGUACAGGAGCAAGAGCAAAGAAGGGCUGAAGGGACAAACCUUUUUGUGCCAUAGAUCGAUCAAAAGCCCGCUGUGUUCAAAUAGGUGCAAGGCUAGGUCAGACCUGAAUUGUGCUCAACCACAUUUUUCCUAGAUUUGCAGCAGACACUAGUGUGGUCCGUCUGGCCACUGAUGGUUGACUCCCAUUUCACUGGGACCCCUGAGAGGCUUCAGACUGGCUCUGAUGGGGCUUUGGUCUAGCCUUUACUCUGUAUAAGUUUUUUUAUAUGCUGCACAUCUCCUCCAGGGAAUGAUCUGCCUUUUCUGAACAGGAACCACAGCUGGCUGCAGAAUAAAAAUGUCUGGAGUUGUGCUAUGCUGGAUGCUGUGCCCUGUGUUUUCCCUGUGAGGGCAAAGUCAUCACUGGUUUCAAGGACAACAGCUUGAGGUCCCUUCUUCAGCUGUCAUUCAGGAGUUUGCCUCACGGUUCCUACCAGUGAAAUAUUUCUACCAAACGAGGAUAGUGCUCCAAAGAGGAAAGUCUGACAGAAAAAAAACACAGAGUUCCUGGUUCUUAUUUCUCUAAUUAAAAAUUACUCCCUUCAGCACUCAAAGCUCUAAUCUGGGUGUAAUACCUUUCAAGAAGAGAAUGCUUCCCUUGCAGAGUUUAGAGCAGCAAGCUUCAAAAUCCAGGUUUUGGAUAGAGGUGUUUGAAAACAGUUCCACUGUAUCUCUUUUGUAGUUGGAGGAGCCGAUAAGACAUGCAAAAGAAAACCCUGUGAAUGUAAAGAGACUGAGUGGACUGAUAUAAAUCCAAUUCUGCAAGAUCUGUGCUGAGAGGACUUGGUCACAGGAGUAGUGCUGUUCCUGCGAAGAAGCAUUUUCAGGCACCAGUUCCCAGUAUAGCACAUGGAGGAGCAGAACAGUAUUACCCUGUGUUGUGCCUUGGGGCCCACUGGGAUGGGAGAUGGAGCUGUUCGAACACUUGUCUGUGUGCAGGCACUCGAGUGAACAUAUAAAGCGUGUGUGCCAAUGCUGAAGGGCUUACAGGACUCAGGUGUUUGCACCUGAUAAAAAGCCAGGACAAGUGUUGUGGGAGUGAGGGAGUCUGAAGAGGACAAGUCAAGACUCAGUCUCUUUCCCUGAAUGAUUCAUUGCCCUAAAAAACAGAAUGUGAACUGUAUUUUUCAUUAAGGACCAGGUUCCCCCAGCUAAGAGAGAGCCCCAAGAGCAUUUCCCCUGUACACGGGAACGAAGGGGACUGAAGCAAAGUAAUUUUCUGAGGUCCUUCUGAACUUGUUCUCAAGCAAUUGCUAGACAUGUGAGCUCAGCCAGUUACCUAUGCCUCCAUAAAGAAGAAGGUAAAAUACAAUAAAAUGGCUUAGCAGAGUUUUUAAACCCUGAUAUCGCUAUCGAUAUGCCAUGGAAAGUGGACAGUGGUGGAUAGUAACAGUGCAGUGCCCUCAGGUCGGUCUUCUUGUGCUGAGAUAUAGGAAGUGUCUGAACAAGUCCAGUCUUACUAGAAACUGUCCUCUGGAGCACAUCAACCCUGUUCAUCAUGGUCCUUCAGAUUAGCUCACUGCCUCAUUACCCUCUCCAUCACAGCUCUAAGUAUGGAGUUGAUGCAAGUCUAAUUAACAACCUGUGAUGUGAUCCAGGACACAUGGUGGAAAACCAUGUCCAGGCCAAAGGUUCAGUGAGUCUUGACAACUCUGCUCUUUGAAUGAGGUUGAGAUCCUCUCCUAAUGUCACACAAGUCUUUGCAAAACAUUCCUGGGACAGCCUGAUGGGGAGACAUCAAGGGCAUUGGGUGGAAGAAGGACUGGUGGGAAAUACAAGAAUACUCCUGCCUGAUGGCUCCUGGGCCAUGAAAUCCUCUGAACUCGUCCAGCAGAUCUCCCAGGACCUGAUUCUACCCUCUCAUCCAGUGGCUGGAGGCCUCCUGGAGCCAGUGGACCCUGAUGGCGAUUAGUAGAGCAGAACACUGGUGUGGGGGGCUUGUUCCUGCAGUGUCUUAAUGGCCAUAUGUGCAAUUAGAGGCAUGAACAAUUCUGGCCCCAAAUAGCUCUCUCCAAACCAAGGCUGGUACUACUUGGGAAGGAAAAAUCUGUAUCUCCCCAUGGCCUCAAGCCUUCCUCAGGGAUGGAGCUGUCUUUACCUGUGGAAAUGCAUCCUAAAAUGCUUUUGAAAGCCGGAGUCCUCUCCUGCUUGCUUCAUCCACUGGCAACAGAAGACAUCCUUUCCAGGAUAGAAAGAAAAACAGAACCCCCUCCUUUUUUUCUUUCUUCUUUGCACAUUUUCAAUUGAAAUAGCUUUGUGCAAGCUAUACUGAAUGCACUGCAAAUCUCUUUGCAUGGUUAAAGUUGAUUGAUUGGGGUUGGAAGUGAAAAUUAAAAAACGGCAGCAGUUAACAAAAUACAAAUAGCCUCUCUUGGGCCUUGCAGAUGAUGGAGCACAAACCGAGAUGCCUGAGCUGAUUCUGCCUUGAGGAGGACCACCUCCUUCACCUUAGGUUAAACACUCAAGAGCAGAGAUGGCUUUUGGAGGGAGGGGGUUGUCCUGAAAAUAAUGUGUAUAUAAUCCUCAAGAUAAUCAAUUUCUUACAGAUGCUUUGUAAACUUUUGUGUUCAAGAGCGCAAGCCAUAGUACUUUUUAAAUCCCUAGGGGUUGUACUUGAUAUCUGUUUGUUAUUUCUUAAUGCUAGUCGAUCUUUUUUUCCCCCUGUUUUUUUAAAGCUUGCAGCAAUAAGCCUGAGACUUGCGUUGGCAGUCGCCACCACUUCUGCCAUUCUGCAGUGAACUUUGUGCGCGUUUUCAUAUUCCUUUUCUUACACUCCUGAUAAAAGCAUUAUCAGGGAAAUUCAAAAGCAAGCAGAAAACUGGCAUAGCUAAUUUAGGCUAAUUAGUAUGGCAGAAGCUGAGUCUUGUACUUCAGAGGUUCCCAUGCCCUCCCAUGUCUCCACCUGAUCGCCUUGUCCAGCAGCAAACCCAGGAGGCAGCUCCAAUUAUAUCAUAACCUCUUCAAACACCAAGCCACUCAAGCUAAUUUUAUCCUAUUAAACAGACUGAAGGAUUCAGAAGAAAGGUUCUACCCCAAAAGCUUCAAUUACCAGUGUCCCUGAUUACCAUCUUUACAAUCCUAUAUGCUACAGUUAAAUACUUUUUUGCUUAGUGUUGCUUUCUUGAUUUAGAUGAAAAGCGAGUAUUAAGAGCAUGUCUUUUCAACUCAAGCAAGUGACAUUCAUAAAAAAAAAGGAACCUCUCUUGUUAUUAGCGUGUAUAAUCAAAGUCAAGUUUAGAACCGUUCAAAGACAAUGUAAUUGGGGAAAUGUAAACAUCCCCUCUCAUCUGGUGGCAUUUAAAGCAGCCACAGGUAACUGCCAAUAUAGCAGUGAUGGCCAGAAGUAUUAGGUCUAGAGGAAAAAAAUAUAAAAGAAAACAGCAGGAUCUCCUGAAACAAGGAAAUGUCAAACGGUGUUUGAAUUAAAUCUCAUGUCACUAAUCAGCAAUAAAGACAGAAAAUAACCUCUAAGGUAUUGAUUGAGCUGGUUCAUCCUUCCUUGCACCAAUAAGUGGUAGACGUUGGCUGUGAGCAUACAGUCACGCCUGGUCCCAGAUGUGUCUGGGCUUAGGGCAGUGCACAAAUGUUCCUCCCUCUGUCCCAGUUCUGAUGGUGGCCUGGAGCCACUCUCCAUCCCCAUGACAGUCCUUCUCUGCUGGCCAUGCCCAUGGGAGGUGGGAGCUCACCGGAGAAACACUGCCAUUUUCCUGGCCAGUGCCUCCUGCAAGGGGGUUGCAAUCUUGGCUGAUGACUCCAGGUGCUGCUAUAAUUCAAAUAAUACUUGUGAUCCAGGCUAUUAUUUUUAACAACGGAGAUGGAAAUUGAAAGAAUAUAUGUCAUAUGACCAUCAAAUUAACCCUUCUCUGAACACUGAACUUGGGAGGAGUUCAGCUGACAGCAGUACCUGUUAGGACAGCAUUUAUAUGGCAACAAUAUGAGAAUAUCUAUCAUCUGGGAAAUUCAGUAGCACAAGUCAUAGUAAAAACACAUCUCACUUUUUUUAAAGUGAACUUUUUCUUCGCCUUCCGUAAAUAGACUAAUUUUACUUAUUCCUUUUCUUCCACAGACAGUAAUUGUUUUUAACAGACUUACGACUUCAUAUUCUUGUUUUCUUUCAGCAUCAUCCCAACUUGUUAGCUCCCAGUCCAUCAUGAGCUGGAGGUGUUUGGGGGUUGGAUUUCACUUCUGAUCUACUCAUCCUCCCAGCUUAAAAUGAGAAUUUUUCUUUCUGUCUAGAAACAAACAAACAAACAAUUUCUGUCAUUUAACAUAAAUUGAAUGAGUUUCACCCAAUUGCCCGCUUUUUGGGCGAUAUGGAAGUGCUAUUGUCUGCAGACAAUGAUUCUCAUGCAAAUGAAACAACAGCUAAACAAGAGUCCUCCCUAUCUCUGUUUGGGCCAAUUUUCUUAACGUUUCAGCAAAGCUUAAUCUGUUGGCAGAAGUGUUUAGGCCCAUUAACAGCUAAAGUCACAGAGUCCACAACUCACCCUGCUGACAGUAAACACGGAAUUUGAGGAAUGGCCUUUAAACAAUGGCUAAGCCACAAACCAUUUUGUCAUCAAAUGCUGUGAAAGGCAUAUAGGCUGAUGAUUUUCUUCCUUGGGUUACAGUGAUUUGAAAGACUGGCUUCCCUCCCCUGAGUCCCCAGCACCCUCCAGGCUUGGGUUACAGCUGUUUUAUUUGCCUUUCCAGCCCUACAGCUGUGGGAUGAGUUAUGCAGGUGUGCUCCCAACAAAUAAGUCAUUCCGAGGCUUCGUAUUAUUUAUUUGUAUUGACCAUCUCAGAGGCCAGGGCCCAGGACAACGCCACGCUCCAUGCCCCGCAGGGCAGAUUCCUGGAUUUAUUUUAGUUCAGGGAACACUGCACCCGGGUCUUCCCCUAACAGUGUCGCAGACAAAAAGGCAAAACUUACCCUGGGGGAGAGAAAUAAAUGGUAAUUGUUACAUAAAAUAAAUUGCUAAAUAAACCCCAUAAAACUUGCAUCUCUUUGGCAGGGAUGGGAUGAAGAGGGGGUGUGUGGACACUGGGGCUGCUCACCCCACCGUGUUUCUCAGUUACAGGCUCUACUGGGCAGUGCCAAAGGGAAUCCCUUUGCACCCCACUGCCUGAAUGGCACUCAGACGUAUCCCCUUCCCCUGGGGAAAGAUGCACAGCCAAAAUGGUGGUACGUGGCUGCAACCCAAAAGAGGACAUGGGCAACUUUUUAGCUGGAGUUGCUUGGAAAAUACAGUUCUGAGAACUCAUGAUGCCAAUGCCAAUGCCAUGCCAACACUGAUGCCAUGCCAACACCUCUUGCCUCUCAUAUGCUUUUCCCAAGCUGAGCUAGAGUGUGCAUCUAGCAAAGAACUGAAAGCAAUGUGUUACAGACUCUGCUGUUGUCCUUCCCAUGGUGGAAGUUGGGAGAAGGUGCCGCACCACCAUUUCCCACCCAAAUUGUCCUCACCUGCCCUCUUGCCAGAAAACAGUGGAGAAACCAGAAGAGAUGGUAAGGACUGAGGGUCAAAAUAAUCUCCCUUCACACCUGGCUCAAAGAUCACCAAAGGCAACAGACUGAGCAAACCAGCAUUAGUACUGAAGGUCCAUUCCCAGAUAAACCGUAAGUGCUAAACCAGGCUUCUGGUGCAGAGUUCUUCUCUACUGAUUCUCCUCAGGAGAAACCAAAGAACAGGGAGGGGAAGAGAGCAGCGAGGAGCAGAGCAGGUACCAAAAUGCUCUUUGGCUGCAUAUGCAGAUAUACCAUACUUGGACUUGUUCAGGCUCCAACCAAACUACGUUGCCUCCACCAGUGCCAGGAGGGAUCUCCAUCAGCAUUAUCAGGGAAUGCGAGAGAAGGAAGGAGAAGAAAGAUGGAGUGGGAGAGAACCACCUGUGCCAGCAACGCAGCGUUAGGCGCCAGCCUGCAGCCAGCUUCAUGGCAGGACUCUUUGUCAUGCCACAACUCUGGACUGUCCACAUUUCACUCCUCCACCUCUGACAUUCAUUGCCAUUCAGGGCAGAUGAAAACACCGGGUUAUUUUAGUAUGGUGACAUCUGGGCAACAUUUUGGCGGUUCUUCUCCCCAAUUUUGGUAUAGAUUGGCUGAAAGUUUUCAACUAAAAUUUGUUUUCCCCAGUAAACUAGUUCUGUAGCGGAAAAAACUCUGGGUUUUGUUGGAAUAGAAAUUAAAUUAAACAAAAAAUAAUAAAAUAAAAUAGAUUUUUUUAAAAAGGGUGAAAUAAGAAGGCUUGUGGCCAAAUUCUUUUGCCCUUUGAGGUACCAUUUCUCAUUUCUUAAAAUAAAUGCUACAGUGGUCCAUGGCAAUUUUAAAAAAAUGAAAAUUGGUAUCAGUCACCCUAUUAAAUGGUGUUAUUCCUCCAUGCCAACCUUGUUUCAUUUAUAUCUUUAGACCAUCAUGGUUACAGUGACACUGAUGCUAACUGCUAAUUAAAUGUGGGAGGAAAGAAGGCUGUGAGGCAUUUUUACAGAUGGAAAUUGGGAACAACUCAAUGUGAUGUCAGUAUCAGGCAGUAGGGGUGAGAUGAGAAAUUAAUUUUUCCAUAGAUCCUUCUGUAUAAUUCUCAGUAAUGUGGUGCCAUAUACCCACACCUGUGUGAGGAGAUGGUUGUUGGAUGUGGUGUUGCCUGGUGGCACACGAGAACAUAUGUCCCACCUCCUGGUCUGGUGCCACUAUCCCUCCUUGCAGCCCUUCACACAAGUGUUUAACUACAAUUCCAGCUUUUCCUUGACUUCACAUUCAAGCUGAUGUGAACAGAUGGAGACCCAGGAUAUGAAUUAGAUGAAUGAGAGUAGGGAGCAUAAGGAAAGGAUGAAAACCAAGAGUUUAGCGUGGAGCAGACACCUCUAUCAGCAGUACUAAGGCCACAGUGAUGUAUUUUGCCACAAGGGUGUGACAGAAGCACUCCAUGAAGGCCACUUUUGACUGGACUGAAAAAUCUUUUCCCUAGUCCUCGCAUACUAAAGAGUCCUUAUAAUUCCCAAAAUACCAGUCAGAAACACCCUUUGGAAACAAAGUGAAGUUUAUGCAACAAUUGAGCCUUUUGAUCUACAGGGCAGUAUCAAAGAGGGGAUUUAAUCAAAUUUUAAAAAGAAACAAGCAAUAAAACUCAGAUCAAACUCUGUGCAUAUUUUUGCCUAUUUCUGACAGUCCUUAACAUUUCUUGGAAGAGCUUUCUCUAAAAUGAAUAAAUAAAUCACCAUCUUAACCCUAGAGCAGGACUCCCUCGCUCUAUGUACUCGUACACACAAACACACACUCACUUGCAUACACAAACAAAAUGCCUACAGUAAAUCAGUUUGCAAGACAUGAUUCUGCAAGACCCUGAUGAGGAUGUCCUGAUGAGGAGGCGUCCCAGGGUACCUGCAGGACUGUGGUGGGAGGGAGACCCCCAAUGUCUGGCUGACCAAAAUGAGGAGGCACAGCUGGCACAGCGAGAUGGGGCACAUGGAGGGCCAGGCAGGUUGGUAUGUGGCAGCUGAUGCAAGGCAUGCUCGGACCCUGAACACCCUGUUAAAAUUAUAUCAGGUUUUAGAGAAAAACUGAAGUCCAGUGAAAUGGGAAGAAACUUUUUACUUUGUUUGCUGCUGUCUGUUGGGUGUGUGCCUUCAAGGCCAGGACCAUCGUUAGGUGUGCACAGUGGUUAGAUGGAGGUAAGCAGAUGCUGCAGAUCUUUAUACCUUACCGUUUGCAGGGUGUACAGCGCUUUUCAGCCUCCUCGUGGAAUGAUGCCUCUCAUGGGACCCCCACACUUGUAGUUUUGCAUCUUAAGAGGAGGAAGGGCUCAUUUUGGGGAAUGGGGCUUUCUGCCUUUUUACCUCUUCUCUUUGAUUAGAGGAUGUGAAAAGAGAAGCCUGAUUAAAACCUAUUCAUCUAAGGACUUGGGUAAGAGAUGUUAAAUGAAUUACAGAACUUAAAAUUACUGGAACUAUCGGAGAGACAGACAGACAAGCAAAAUUUGGCAUGUUCUGAGCACAUAAGGACACAUUAGCUAAUUUGGAAGUUUUCACUCCUGUUCUAGAAAGUCAGAAGAUUUCAUAGUUUUCUGUUUUGAGGGAGGUAUAAAUUAAAGCUGGAUAUUUUGCUGAUAAAUUAUUCUCUCUUUGGGGCUCUACCACAACUGAAAAUGAUCUCAGUGUUUACAGCUUAGUCCCAGUUCAUCAGAACUUGCCGUCGGAGACAUCACAUUGUAUUUCUGCCUGCAAGUGAAGUCAGAGUUAAUAUCCCUGCGUGGUCUAGGGUCCUUUUGGUGGGCAGAUGGACCUUCUGUCCCUAAACAAGGGGGAUGGCUCUACUGCAAAGUGAGGUGCAGGCUUAAAGCAUACCUCUUCGGGGAAAGGGUGGCAUCCCAAGCACAAGGCUGUCAGCCUUGCCAAGUUCUCUGCAGGGUAUUAGGAGCUUCUUUUUAGUUGCCUAAACCUGGCCACUCAAACUUUGCAAGCACAAAUAUUCACCCCAAAUGUGAGCAUGGCAUGAAUCAAGCAAUAAAAGUUAAUCAGCAUCAUUAAAUCUGUCAGACCAGCAGGUUAUUAAAAUUACCACUAUUCACUCUGAAAAUGGGAACAAAAAAUUAUGCUCCAGCUUUCUGAGCCUGUUUGUCUUGUUUUCCCACACUGCUUAUGAAUUACUACAGUACAUUACAAUGUCCUCUAUCCAUCUUCAUUAGCAUUGUGAACAAAUUGUAUUGGGCUGUAAUGCAGUGUUUUUUUGGUAUUGUACGAACAUAUAUGAUGUACAGAAAAUGGGCAAUUUAAUAUGAAAAGAAUAUUGUGCCUCAGAAUUUUUAUUUUCUAAACAGUCAUUUCAGUUGGGAAUUAUUGCAUGAUUUGUGCAUAAUUUCUCAUGGAUAGUUAUUUAAAUAUAAAUAGGGAAAAUAUAUAAUUCCAUAUGGUGGCUAUCUACCCUUUCUUGAUGCCUCUCCAUAUUUUUAAUAGUGCAAUAAACAAAAGAUAAAAACAUCUCUAAGCCACACACUAGUCAAAAGAAGAUAAUUGUGCCUGUAUGUGUUUAUUGUAAUUUGAAUGUGCUUCAAUUAACUUUCCUCAAUAUUUCCCAGUUCUUUUAAAAGAAACUUAAAUUAGUUUUUAUUUUGUGAAAUUUGUUUUCUGUGCAAUGAGAAAAAAACCCCACAAACCAAUGUCUUUGUUUACCUCAUUAUGGAUACAUCCUAUCCAGGAGCAAAGCUCCAACUCUUUAUUCCCAACAAUCUUUUUUUUUUUUUUUUCCAUUCUCACAUGCUUCUUAUUAUACUUUAAGUAAAAAUAUCAAAUUUCCAGUGCUCCCUACGAAGAGACAGUUCAGCAUCCUUCAAUAUAUCACAUAUCAAAGUGUGGUAAAACAUGAAAAUGUCAGAAAAGCAAACUCUUACAGUUUUGCACUGCAGCCACUUUUAAAAGAUGAGAAUUUAUUACCCUUUCCUGCUACAAAUCAUCAGGGUGACCGGAACAGAGAGAGUAUAUAUAGAAUGCUUGUUGUAAUUAACCUUGAGGCUUUUAUUUAAACAAGGUCAAACAUUUUAACAGCUUUAUAAAUCAAGGUUGGGUCCGCACGGCUCCAUAGUAUCAGACUAAUGACAAAAUGCACAUGGAAUACAUAAUAAACAGCAUUUAUUUACAGAAAAUAUAUCCUGCAAGCUUCAGAGAGACACACCUGCUGGCUGACGUAGCACCAAGACACAGCUCCAGCCCCAACCGAACCACCCCAAGGUGAAUGGUGUAAACGUGUUUUUAGUAUGUGCUACAAGGAGCCAAGCCCAGGUAUGGGUAAAUUAGGUCAUUUGCAAGCUAACUGCAUUUUUAGUGCAAUUGCAAAAUGACAGAAGGUAGGUCACAGUCAUCCCAAUAUCUGCAGUUCUGUCCUUAAUGUUCUCUGAUUUUUAUUUACUUUUUCUACUACUACUUCAGUUAGGUUUUACUGGAAGGAAAGGGAAGGAGGACAUCUGCAUUAAGAUGAACUGUUUUUUCUCAGCAAGUAGCUACCCAGGAACCUUUAUCAAUCUCUAAAAAUAACACCCUUGGGAUUCCUCCACCCAUCCAUCCUGGGUUAUCUCCUUCUUCCUAAUAAAAAACGGCCAUCAGGAGUAAUUUUUUUGAAUGAAGGACAUCACACUAGGCUUUCUAUUUUGCACUCUAAAUAAACAGUAGCUUUCAAGUCGCCCACGUUCAUCACUUCACUUGCUCUUCAGUGUACCAGAGUGAAAUGAAGAAUAUCACAAGCCACAGCGCCUGACGUGGCUGCUUUACACCACGGUUUGCUCUGCGGACAUCCCUUACCAAGUCAAGAGGAGCCCCAUGUGGACAAUAGAUGCCUGCUCUAUUGGUGUGACCCACCAGUCUUAAAAUAGCUGGUAUAAUUUCCCUUAAUGAUACAGAUAAUUCCUCCUCAAAUAUUUCUUGGCUCUUCAGUGUUUUCUCUUAGCCCCAUGGUGUAGGAGUUACACAGACACAAAGGGCUACUCAUUAUUCACCAUGCUCGCCCUCUUAAACUUCACACCUGGGUUGCCACCACCACCUCUCAGUAUGAGCUGGGGGUCCCUGGCAGCGUCAGUAUGGCUGCAGUCAGGAUCGACACCUGAACCUCCUCCCUUUCACCGGCCAUGGUGUAUUGCAUCACAUCACAGCCAACCAACAAAAAUGCCCCGUCUCACCAGGGCCAACAGUGGGGACCAAACUGGGUGAAGAAAAACAUUUUUUGGUGUCUGCGUUCACCUUUUUAAUUGACUUCUUUCAUUUGUUCCCCUUCUGUGCCCUCUGAUUAUAAGCACUCAAGCGGCUGUUGUAACCCCCAGGAAAAAAAAAAACCACAAACACCACCACAACAACCAGUUGUGCUAAAUGAGAUAUUUAUGUGUGGGUGUUUAAGUAUCCACGUGAAGCAAAUUUCUACCCUCUUCUCAUCAGAAUGGGAACCAGACCAUGUGAGUGAUGUGACCAAUUACCACUGAGCACCCCAGAGCAGCUCCUGAAUAUUCACGUCCAAUUGCUACUUCGGUGGAACAAUUGGUUUGAACAGUUUGAAAAGGCAAUGAUGUCAAAUGUGUGGAGUGAUUAAACGCAGCAAUGAGCUGAAAAAGAAGCUCUGUUUCCUUCCCAGGGUAAUUCUGCUGUCAAAUUUUGCUCUGAUGGGAGCAGGAAACACCCAGAUCUUAUCAGGGCAAGGUGCAGCUGAGUUUCGGAGGCAGCAUGGAGUGGGACAUGUGUGGGAGCUUUGACAUGGGUGCAGAAAGUCAAAUGCCUCCUCUUCACCCCUGAACCUCACGCAUAACCACACUUCUACCCCAGGCAGAGCAACGCACAUCUUGCAAGCACACUGUGAUGCAAAUGUAAUUUGGAUCAAAGAUUUUUAGGGCCAAGUAUCUGGGAGUCUAACGGUCCGGGUAAAUGGCAAAGGCUAUGUGGUUUUCAUCAAUAUCAGCCACAUUUGGGAGCUCUUCUGCUUUCUGUAUAAGGAACAUGUUAAGCGCACAGUCCUGCUGCUUGGUGCAUGCCUAUUUCUGUCAUCAACAAAAUGGCCUAUACUAUUUUAAAAAAUUAAUUCUCCCAUUCAGCUCUUUCCUGUUUUAAAAAAAUGCAUAUACCAUACAUUAUAGUUCAGUAGUAGCCCCAGUUUUAUGACAGAGUCAUACAGAUCCAAGCGUUAGGAGAAACAGCAUUUUUCAGUUGUAGUACACGGAGAGGUCUGUGGUUCCCAGAUGGCAGAAGGGAGCUGGGAGCACAUAGGAGGAGAAAAAAGUAAUACAUCCUCCAGGAUCAUAUCUUAUGCUGAGCCCUUGUCAGAGAGAGUGGGCACAGAAAUGCUGCCCAUCUCCAGCUGCUCAGGUCUGGGGCCAGCUCUGAAAACAAUUUUUCUCCUCCUGGUCCCCUUUGGGGAAAGUGAUUGUGCAUACUCUUGUACAAAAAAAAUAAUAAAAUAGUUUUUCCUUAAGAAGCGUCUCCCACACAUUUUGUGAAUGUGCAAAAAGCUUCUUAAACAUGAUGCAGGAGGCUGAGAUGAGGAAAUAGCCUGUAUAAAAUCCUCCCUGAAACCAGGGAACUUUUUCUUUUCCUUUCUUCUUGUUUCUAUGCAGAGAUCUGAGCUAAUUUUUCCUAUCCAUAGGCUCCCCCCACACCCUCAAAAAAAAAAAGGGGGGGGGGGAGACUGUAUUCACUAAUUAUACAUCCUGAAAAGAAUUUGGUUCAGUGUAAGAUGAUCCUAGUGAUAUGCUAAUCCUUUUUUCUGCUUGGUGCAGCCUGAAGCCUGUGUCUAACAUUUUUUUCAACUGUAUGACAAUAAAAGUUGUGGCAACAAAAGAAAUAAAUGGGCAGCUAAAGAAGGUAUGGCUGAAACACAUGGCAGACUAGUUCUCUCCUCUCCUUCUGGCUGCUCUUUUGUAGGCUCUGGUUUGGUAUCCUCAAGUCAAUAGCCGAAAGCCAGCCACCUUAGCAACUUAGUAUGACACCCAAGCCCUCUCUCUUUACAUUCAUGAAUAGUCAGCAAGCAGCAGACAAAAUAGAACUAAUCUUUUUUGACAGAAUUGUUCAAUUUUAGAGGAAAGGCUUUUGAGGCACCUUUCAUACAUUUGCAGAAUAUGAGACAACAAUGGCCACCAUCACAUUUUACAAAAGGACGACCAGGGGUGUGAGCGCGCACACAUGCAUGCACAACAGCCAUUUCGAUAAAAUAUUGCAGCUAAGUUCAAGCGGUUGCAGGAUAUGCCCAUUGUUAGGGGGAAAGCUGGCAGGCAAGAAAAAAUAAAUAAAUUA